CAUAAGUAUCGUAAACACAUAUUUUUUAUGGAGCAUGGAUAAGCGUCACCCGAUUGAUGUAGCAUAUUUUUUGAAUCACUGUUGUCGUCACAAUUUGGAUCGGUACAUGAAGGGACCAAUCUGUAUGGGUCCCUAUGUGACUCAUCUAGCGAGGUAUUUUAGACUUUUCGAUACUCUGGAGUAGUCCUCCUCCUUGAGUCUGGUCGAAUAGAUGGUCCCUCAGGGAUUGAUUAUUAUGAACCACAUGUGGAUGAUUCAUCGUCAGCCAAAUUUAGUCCAAACUGGUUUACAUUGCUUUGUCUAGAUCCACAAGGUAAGCAUAAGGAGCUUCUAGACGAUAACCCACCUAGACAAGCAUACCCAUCUCGACCUAUUCCUCCCCUAGUAAUUCUACAGCUGCACAUACUGUCACGCUUGAGGUCAUAUAUUGCACACAGCAACAGCAGUCAAAGCAAGUCAAUUGCUUACAGCAGUAGCAGGACCGUAUGAAGGCAUAUUUACUGCAGUUAUGCCAACACUUUCAUCUUUCAUCACCAAGCGCUUGAGAGCAAAAGAAGCGAAAAAAUAAUCGAAAACUGGAGCGUCGAAGCAAGUUGAAGGAGCCACGCAAGCUAUACCUUUUCAUACGGUUAAACCACACGGGUGUGUGAUAGACCGUGUUGAUUUCACAGGAUUGCACAUUGAACAGUAGAAAAUCACGAUUUUUAGGUUUUUCAGGCAGUCUAAUAUAUAUAUAUAUAUGACAAAAAUAAAAGAUAUGAGAGGGGCGUCAAAUAAACUCAAGAAAACAACUCGAAAAAUACCAUUGAGGUCGACUUUGAAGCAGAUUUCCAUCAAGAUUGAAGAUUCCUAGUUGAUUUCUUAGGAAGUUAUUAUGAGUUUCUUUUAUUCUUUCAGUUAUACUGUAUAUUUGAUUUUUCUCUUUUCGAGCAUGAACUAAUUUUCUAAAUACAUAUGGGAGAUAAACCCUACAAUGAAUUAUGUAGUUUUAUUUCUAUUUUACACAAUAAAUACUUAGUUUCUUGUUCUCAA
Long non-coding RNA from Gossypium arboreum, 1032 nucleotides. RefSeq lists it as uncharacterized. NCBI's taxonomy places the organism in Eukaryota, Viridiplantae, Streptophyta, Magnoliopsida, Malvales, Malvaceae. The transcript is spliced from 2 exons. The record is from RefSeq and is a predicted model, not a curated record.